UCCGGUUUGGCACCGGCAGUCUCCUAUGAGUCCCCGACAUGACUCGCUGGCAACAUAGGACAGGGGUUGCGCUCGUUGCGCCACUUAAGGCAACACCUCACGGCACGAGCUGACGACAGCCAUGCACCACCUGUGCGGGCUCCGAAGAGCGCCGUGUUUCCACGGCUUCACCCCGCAUGUCAAGUCCUGGUAAGGUUCUUCGCGUUGCGUCGAAUUAAGCCACAUGCUCCGCCGCUUGUGCGGGCCCCCGUCAAUUCCUUUGAGUUUCAACCUUGCGGCCGUAGUCCCCAGGCGGAGUACUUAAUGCGUUAGCGACGGCACCGAGGGGGUCGAUACCCCCGACACCUAGUACUCAUCGUUUACGGCGUGGACUAC
This 375-nucleotide unclassified non-coding RNA is filed under the name uncultured Actinomycetes bacterium. RNAcentral's name for it is "uncultured actinobacterium contains 16S-23S intergenic spacer region". The record is from RNAcentral. Lineage: Bacteria; Bacillati; Actinomycetota; Actinomycetes.